Molecule: long non-coding RNA, 209 nt
Filed under: Mytilus galloprovincialis (Mediterranean mussel)
Lineage: Eukaryota; Metazoa; Mollusca; Bivalvia; Mytilida; Mytilidae
Source: RNAcentral
UUCUUAUUAUGUCACCCGAUCGACAAAGUCGGGUGACAUAUUGCUUUUCCUCUGUUUCUUUUUCCCUAUUAUUAUUAUUAUUAUUAUUAUUAUUAUUAUUAUUAUUAUUAUUUUUCUUCCACCUAAUUUUGUCCGGCAGUUUUCUCAGAGCCAAAGGAACCAAUCUGAAUGAUGGUACACUAUAACAAGGAACCCUGACUUUCCUGUUU